GACGAACGCUGGCGGCGUGCCUAAUACAUGCAAGUAGAACGCUGAAGGAGGAGCUUGCUCUUCUGGAUGAGUUGCGAACGGGUGAGUAACGCGUAGGUAACCUGCCUGGUAGCGGGGGAUAACUAUUGGAAACGAUAGCUAAUACCGCAUAACAGUAGAUGUUGCAUGACAUUUACUUAAAAGGUGCAAUUGCAUCACUACCAGAUGGACCUGCGUUGUAUUAGCUAGUUGGUGGGGUAACGGCUCACCAAGGCGACGAUACAUAGCCGACCUGAGAGGGUGAUAGGCCACACUGGGACUGAGACACGGCCCAGACUCCUACGGGAGGCAGCAGUAGGGAAUCUUCGGCAAUGGACGGAAGUCUGACCGAGCAACGCCGCGUGAGUGAAGAAGGUGUUCGGAUCGUAAAGCUCUGUUGUAAGAGAAGAACGAGUGUGAGAGUGGAAAGUUCACACUGUGACGGUAUCUUACCAGAAAGGGACGGCUAACUACGUG
Molecule: ribosomal RNA, 495 nt
Filed under: uncultured bacterium
Lineage: Bacteria
Description: partial 16S ribosomal RNA
Rfam family: Bacterial small subunit ribosomal RNA
Source: RNAcentral